Molecule: long non-coding RNA, 745 nt
Filed under: Rattus norvegicus (Norway rat)
Lineage: Eukaryota; Metazoa; Chordata; Mammalia; Rodentia; Muridae
Description: long non-coding RNA NONRATT029163
Source: RNAcentral
AGAAAAAAAGAGAUGGUGUUUGCAAAGCACUUUGGUUCACCUGGCAUACUGCAAAAGCUUACUGAAUGGGGUGUUCUUAUUUUGUUUCUUUCAGGUGACUGUCACCAAUGUCAGUUCAGAAUUCUGACUGGUCCCUCCAACAGGACAAUCCUAUCUUCAGGGAGCCAGAUCCACCAGUCAACACAGACAGUGAUUCAGGCCACCGGCCAGUACAGGGCUAUGGGGAUAUCUCUGUUCAGGUUGUAGGAGUCCCACUCUUUCUGAGACCAUGGUGGUCUCGUCCUCUGGCCCUCAUUCCCCUCCUGCCAAGUAGGAGGUAGUUUGCAUUUCUCUAUUAAAACAAAACCUUAGUCAGUCAGGUGUGACAGUGCACACCAUUAGUUCCAGAACUCAGUGAGUACAAGGCCAGCCUGGUCUAUAUAUGGAGUAUCAAGUUCCAGGCGGGAGAGACGUGCAUGUGUGUGUGCGUGUGCACAUGCAUGUGCGUGUGUGCGUGUGUGCACGUGUGUGUGAGUGUGUGUGCACCACCAUACAUGUGGAGGUCAGAGGACAACCUGUGGGAGCCAGUCCUCCUCUUCUACCAUGUGGACCGUGGGGAUCAGACUUAGGCUUGGCGGUGUGGCUUUACCUGCUGAGCCGUCUGUCUCCUGCUUUCUCCCCCUUUGAGCCAAGCUCUAGUCAUGCAGCCCUGAAGCUUCAGUCCUACUUCCGCCUCCCAGUGGGCAGGAUUAUAGGAAUGUACAGC